RNAcentral lists this ribosomal RNA (877 nucleotides) under uncultured bacterium. RNAcentral describes it as "bacterial SSU rRNA". It matches the Rfam family "Bacterial small subunit ribosomal RNA", at positions 521 to 1401 of the family's 1533-position model. The record is from RNAcentral.
UAAUACGGAGGAUCCAAGCGUUAUCCGGAUUUAUUGGGUUUAAAGGGUGCGCAGGCGGAAGAUUAAGUCGGCGGUGAAAUUUUGCAGCUCAACUGUAAAAGUGCCAUCGAUACUGGUUUUCUUGAGUGUGGAUGAAGUAGGCGGAAUUUGUGGUGUAGCGGUGAAAUGCAUAGAUAUCACGAGGAACUCCGAUUGCGCAGGCAGCUUACUAGGCCAUAACUGACGCUCAGGCACGAAGGCGUGGGGAUCAAACGGGCUUAGAUACCCUGGUAGUCCACGCAGUAAACUAUGAUUACUCGCUGUUUGCGAUACACCGUAAGCGGCUUAGCGAAAGCGUUAAGUAAUCCACCUGGGGAGUACGUUCGCAAGAAUGAAACUCAAAGGAAUUGACGGGGGCCCGCACAAGCGGAGGAACAUGUGGUUUAAUUCGAUGAUACGCGAGGAACCUUACCCGGGCUUGAAAUGCAUCUGACAGGAGCAGAGACGCUCUCUUCCUUCGGGACAGAUGUGUAGGUGCUGCAUGGUUGUCGUCAGCUCGUGCCGUGAGGUGUCGGCUUAAGUGCCAUAACGAGCGCAACCCUCAUCAUUAGUUACCAUCAGGUUAAGCUGGGGACUCUAAUGAGACUGCCAUCGUAAGAUGUGAGGAAGGUGGGGAUGACGUCAAAUCAGCACGGCCCUUACGUCCGGGGCGACACACGUGUUACAAUGGGUGGUACAAAGGGCAGCUACAUGGCGACAUGAUGCUAAUCUCCAAAACCACUCUCAGUUCGGAUCGGAGUCUGCAACUCGACUUCGUGAAGCUGGAUUCGCUAGUAAUCGCGCAUCAGCCACGGCGCGGUGAAUACGUUCCCGGGCCUUGUACACACCGCCCGUCAAG